GAUGAACGCUAGCUACAGGCUUAACACAUGCAAGUCGAGGGGUAACGAGAGGAAAGCUUGCUUUCCUUGUCGACGACCGGCGCACGGGUGAGUAACGCGUAUCCAACCUGCCCCCAACUAGGGAAUAACCUUGCGAAAGUAAGGCUAAUACCCUAUAAUUUCCUCAGAUGACAUCUGACGAGGAAUAAAGAUUUAUCGGUUGUGGAUGGGGAUGCGUCUGAUUAGCUUGUUGGCGGGGUAACGGCCCACCAAGGCAACGAUCAGUAGGGGUUCUGAGAGGAAGGUCCCCCACAUUGGAACUGAGACACGGUCCAAACUCCUACGGGAGGCAGCAGUGAGGAAUAUUGGUCAAUGGGCGGAAGCCUGAACCAGCCAAGUAGCGUGCAGGAUGACGGCCCUAUGGGUUGUAAACUGCUUUUAUACAGGAAUAAAGUUAGCCACGUGUGGUUAUUUGUAGGUACUGUAUGAAUAAGGACCGGCCAAUUCCGUGCCAGCCGCCGCGGUAA
This 506-nucleotide ribosomal RNA is filed under the name uncultured bacterium. RNAcentral describes it as "partial 16S ribosomal RNA". It matches the Rfam family "Bacterial small subunit ribosomal RNA", at positions 28 to 523 of the family's 1533-position model. The record is from RNAcentral.